GGUGGUGCAUGGUUGUCGUCAGCUCGUGUCGUGAGAUGUUGGGUUAAGUCCCGCAACGAGCGCAACCCUCGUUCUAUGUUGCCAGCACGUAAUGGUGGGGACUCAUGGAAGACUGCCGGGGUCAACUCGGAGGAAGGUGGGGAUGACGUCAAAUCAUCAUGCCCCUUAUGUCUUGGGCUUCACGCAUGCUACAAUGGCCGGUACAAUGGGCUGCGAUACCGCAAGGUGGAGCGAAUCCCAAAAAACCGGUCUCAGUUCGGAUUGGGGUCUGCAACUCGACCCCAUGAAGUCGGAGUCGCUAGUAAUCGCAGAUCAGCAACGCUGCGGUGAAUACGUUCCCGGGCCUUGUACACACCGCCCGUCAAGUCACGAAAGUCGGUAACACCCGAAGCCGGUGGCCCAACCCUUGUGAAAAGAGCCCUCGAAAGGUGAGACUGGCGAUUGAGACUU
Molecule: ribosomal RNA, 450 nt
Filed under: Janibacter terrae
Lineage: Bacteria; Bacillati; Actinomycetota; Actinomycetes; Micrococcales; Intrasporangiaceae
Description: bacterial SSU rRNA
Rfam family: Bacterial small subunit ribosomal RNA
Source: RNAcentral